AGUGAACGCUGGCGGUAGGCCUAACACAUGCAAGUCGAACGGCAGCACAGGAGAGCUUGCUCUCUGGGUGGCGAGUAGCGGACGGGUGAGGAAUACAUCGGAAUCUACUUUUUCGUGGGGGAUAACGUAGGGAAACUUACGCUAAUACCGCAUACGACCUACGGGUGAAAGCAGGGGAUCUUCGGACCUUGCGCGAUUGAAUGAGCCGAUGUCGGAUUAGCUAGUUGGCGGGGUAAAGGCCCACCAAGGCGACGAUCCGUAGCUGGUCUGAGAGGAUGAUCAGCCACACUGGAACUGAGACACGGUCCAGACUCCUACGAGAGGCAGCAGUGGGGAAUAUUGGACAAUGGGCGCAAGCCUGAUUCAGCCAUACCGCGUGGGUGAAGAAGGCCUUCGGGUUGUAAAGCCCUUUUGUUGGGAAAGAAAUCCAGCUGGUUAAUACCCGGUUGGGAUGACGGUACCCAAAGAAUAAGCACCGGCUAACUUCGUGCCAGCCGCCGCCGUAA
RNAcentral lists this ribosomal RNA (506 nucleotides) under uncultured bacterium. Its description in RNAcentral is "partial 16S ribosomal RNA". It matches the Rfam family "Bacterial small subunit ribosomal RNA", at positions 29 to 523 of the family's 1533-position model. The record is from RNAcentral.